Long non-coding RNA from Erigeron canadensis, 1273 nucleotides. RefSeq lists it as uncharacterized. The transcript has 4 exons. NCBI's taxonomy places the organism in Eukaryota, Viridiplantae, Streptophyta, Magnoliopsida, Asterales, Asteraceae. The record is from RefSeq and is a predicted model, not a curated record.
UUAGCUCAAAUAGAAGAAGAAAUAGUCUAAUCUAAUUAUUUCGUUAAAAGUCUAGAUAAAGAAAUUGAAUAAUUCAUGGCAUUUGAUUUCUUUAUAAUGGAUCCAUCCAUUAUAUAUCCGACCAUGAUUUCCCCGUUUAAAUUUGAAGAUGGAAUGUAUGAAACCAUAUCGGAUGUUUGAAUACCCGUUCUUGGUUUUAUAGGAUGAAUUAUAUAAAACCAUAUCGGAUGUUUGAAUACCCGAUGAAGCUCAAGGGUUUGAGACCCUUGCUUGUUGGGAAAACAUGCAUUGGGGUGUCCAUUUAAGAUCCGAGCCAUCAAAUUGACAGGCCUUUGAGAAGUUUCAACUGGCAAGGCUACAAUCUUCAAAAGAAAAAUUGAGUAAUUUUUUUUUGUGUGUGUUUUUUAAUUAAAAUUCUACAUAUGAAUUUAAAAUCACUUGUGAUUUAAGUUUAGUAUGACUAAUAAUGUGGCUUUUUAAUUUGUAUGUAGAUUUCCUUCCAUAGUUUAAUCAGGUGUACUGGUCGCGAGGCCGACUUAUAAUAUGAAGACUGCCAAAAAACGUAAACUUCUAUUUGAUUCAUAAUGUUAGCUCUCGUAAUUUGUAAAAUCGCUUAGGAGUCAAGGAACAUGUGUAAUUGUGCUAAUCAUUGUUGUUUUUUUUUCCAUUUACGUCAUACUCUAGUGGUAGCAAAAUUCGCUAAGAAGCUGCAACAAAUGCAUGAUUUCGGUAUUUUCACUCCGUUUGGAACGAGAAUUCCGCAACUAAUGUAUGCAUCAAUUGAGAUCUUUUUUUUAUAUUUUGAAUUUUAGGGAGUUAAUCACAUCGAUGUUUAUAAUUUGUUAAUCACAUCGAUGAGGAGUUAAUCACUCCUCAUCAAACUGUUGACUUACUAACCCGGUGAAGAAAAAGCCGAUCUACAUAUGCUUGUUGCCACUUCUAUUCUACUGGAGUAUUUGUAUUUUAUAAAUCAUGACAAAUCUUAGCCCAAUCCAUGGAGCCCUAAUCUUGAUAAGUAACAAGCUUACAUUUUAUUCAACCAAAAAUGAAACGAGUUAUCAAUGUAUUAAUUUACUUAUGUAAGCUCAUUGGUAAUGUUUUUGACCUUGAAAGAAUCAGCUUAAGUUUGUGUCCCACAUUUAUAGAGGGGAUUAAUAGGAGGUUUUUUUAAAGUUCUAAAUUUGAUUUCAAGCAUUUGUGUAAUGUAAGAAUAGAAAUAAAAUAAUAUGUCAUUAUAAAAAAGCUUUAUAUGAUUUACUUUCUUACGUAAAAA